Long non-coding RNA from Brienomyrus brachyistius, 794 nucleotides. RefSeq lists it as uncharacterized. The transcript has 3 exons. The record is from RefSeq and is a predicted model, not a curated record. Lineage: Eukaryota; Metazoa; Chordata; Actinopteri; Osteoglossiformes; Mormyridae.
UCAGAAGGGAACUGUGUAGACUCCAUGCCAUUAAAGCUGUGGAUCCUGAUGGCAUCAGUCCCAGGACCCUCAGGUGCUGUGCAGCCCAGCUGUGUGGAGUUUUACAUCUGAUCUUCAACACGAGUCUAAAACUGCAGAGGGUCCCGUCACUCCGGAAGACAUCCUGUCUGGUUCCUGUCCCCAAAAAGACCCACUCUUUGACCCCCAGUGACUACAGGCCAGUGGCUCAGACUUCAUGAAAGCGCUGGAGAGACUUCUCCUGAAACAUCUGCGUCUGCUGGUGGAGCCUUGGCUGGACCCCCUACAGUUUGCUUACCGACCCCAUAUCGGCGUGGAGGACGCCAUCAUCUACCUGCUGAACCAGGCUUAUUCUCAUUUGGACAUCGUUGGGAACACCGUGAGGGUUUUGACCUGUUCAGUGCGUUUAAUACAAUCGGACCAUCAUUGCUGGUGAAUAAGCUCACAGAAAUGCAGGUGGAUGCCCCACUGGUUGUUUGGAUUACAGACUAUCUAACCAAUCGACCACAGCAUGUCCGGUUGAAGAGCUGCCGCUCCGAUAGCAUCCUGAGCAGCACGGGAGCAAUACAGGGAACUGUCCUGUCACCAUUCCUCUUCACCCUCUACACGUCUGAAUUCAGGGCUCUGAAAACACUGCAACAUGUUGUACUGCGAACAGCUCCGCUUCCGUCCUGACAAGCGAAUGCAGCAGAGUUAGGCACGGAGAAGAGGAGUGACAGGAUGUGGCUGGUGGCUGACAGUCGGCUCCGCACUGUCACCUGACGUUUCCACGGAGC